RNAcentral lists this long non-coding RNA (257 nucleotides) under Carica papaya (papaya). Its description in RNAcentral is "long non-coding RNA (CPAP_LNC004707)". Lineage: Eukaryota; Viridiplantae; Streptophyta; Magnoliopsida; Brassicales; Caricaceae. The record is from RNAcentral.
AUUCGCCUCGGUUUGGCCGUUUUCGGCCGAAUUCGGCCACACUUGCAUCGAUCCUUGCGAUUAAACAACUCUAGGGCCCUCGGGGGGCCAAAAAAUUACGGAAAACCGAAGCUUACCGGCGGCGGUGCUCUCGGGUGCGGCGGCUCUCCGGUGAAGUUCGUGUUUUGGUGAUUCGGCUCCGAUCAACCUAUAGAGAAAAGAAUGGUGAUCACGGUGAUAUAAAAAUUGCAUUAAACGGAGGCCGGGAAGGGCCUCAU